GAUGUGCCUUCGGGCUGGGACAUGCUGUGCCACCUGGCACCAGAUAUGAGCAGUGCUUUGCGUUUGAUUAGGCGUCACUGGACUACAUGCCCGGUGUGCCUGGUUUAGCGUCGGGUGCUGUAGACAGCGCUUCAUGCGCAGACACGGGUUGCCGCAGGAUGUGGGGCUUUGGCGGGCUUAGGCUUGGCUUCGACUCAUGAGUGUUGCACCCGAGACACGCUUUAUGCGAAGACCUAUUGCACGGUUGUCGAAGGUCGGUAGCCAACUGGGGGGAGGGUGGUUUCCCUUCGGGCCGGAGAUGGUCCCUCUUGACCUGGGUGCGGGGCACCCUUGCUUGGUCGGACUGUCCCUUCUUUGUAAUGUCGCAAUCAUGUCGGACACGGGUUGCCGCAGGAUGUGGGGCUUUGGCGGGCUUAGGCUUGGCUUCGACUCAUGAGUGUUGCACCCGAGACACGCUUUAUGCGAAGACCUCUUGCACGGUUGUCGAAGGUCGGUAGCCAACUGGGGGGCGGGUGGUUUCCCUUCGGGCCGGAGAUGGUCCCUCUUGACCUGGGUGCGGGGCACCCUUGCUUGGUCGGCCUGUCCCUUCUUUGUAAUGUCGCAAUCAUGUCGGACUGUCCCUUCAAUUGUAAUUCGCAUCCAUAACGAAGCUACAAUAAACAGGUUAACAGGACCGGAAGCGCAGGAUCCACCGAAGCAACUGGAGCCGCCCCAACUCA
RNAcentral lists this long non-coding RNA (719 nucleotides) under Chlamydomonas reinhardtii. RNAcentral describes it as "long non-coding RNA (CREI_LNC001481)". The record is from RNAcentral. Lineage: Eukaryota; Viridiplantae; Chlorophyta; Chlorophyceae; Chlamydomonadales; Chlamydomonadaceae.